AAAUGCGAUAAGUAAUGUGAAUUGCAGAAUUCAGUGAAUCAUCGAAUCUUUGAACGCACCUUGCGCUCCUUGGUAUUCCUUGGAGCAUGCCUGUUUGAGUAUCAUGAAAUCUUCAAAGUAAAUCUUUUGUUAACUCAAUUGGUUUCUACUUUGGUAUUGGAGGUCUUUGCAGCUUCACACCUGCUCCUCUUUGUUCAUUAGCUGGAUCUCAGUGUUAUGCUUGGUUCCACUCGGCGUGAUAAGUUAUCUAUCGCUGAGGACACUGUAAAAGGUGGCCAAGGUAAAUGCAGAUGAACCGCUUCUAAUAGUCCAUUGACUUGGACAAUACUUUUAUGAUCUGAUCUCAAAUCCGGUAGGACUACCCGCUGAACUUAAGC
RNAcentral lists this unclassified non-coding RNA (377 nucleotides) under plant metagenome. RNAcentral's name for it is "partial contains 5.8S ribosomal RNA, internal transcribed spacer 2, and large subunit ribosomal RNA". The stretch from base 1 to 104 matches the Rfam family "5.8S ribosomal RNA", at positions 51 to 154 of the family's 154-position model. The record is from RNAcentral.